AAGGCUUUAGCUUAAUUAAAGUGUCUGUUUUGCAUGCAGAAGAUGAGGGAUAAAGUCCCGCAAGUCUUA
Molecule: transfer RNA, 69 nt
Filed under: Allocyttus niger (black oreo)
Lineage: Eukaryota; Metazoa; Chordata; Actinopteri; Zeiformes; Oreosomatidae
Description: tRNA-Ala
Rfam family: tRNA
About the family: Transfer RNA (tRNA) molecules are approximately 80 nucleotides in length. Their secondary structure includes four short double-helical elements and three loops (D, anti-codon, and T loops). Further hydrogen bonds mediate the characteristic L-shaped molecular structure. tRNAs have two regions of fundamental functional importance: the anti-codon, which is responsible for specific mRNA codon recognition, and the 3' end, to which the tRNAs corresponding amino acid is attached (by aminoacyl-tRNA synthetases). tRNAs cope with the degeneracy of the genetic code in two manners: having more than one tRNA (with a specific anti-codon) for a particular amino acid; and 'wobble' base-pairing, i.e. permitting non-standard base-pairing at the 3rd anti-codon position.
Source: RNAcentral